CAGACCUCUGAUCACGGAAGACUACCCGCUGAGUUUAAGCAUAUCACUAAGCGGAGGAGAAGAAACUAACCAGGAUUUCCCUAGUAACGGCGAGCGAACCGGAA
RNAcentral lists this ribosomal RNA (104 nucleotides) under Ceratodon purpureus. Its description in RNAcentral is "partial 28S ribosomal RNA". It matches the Rfam family "Eukaryotic large subunit ribosomal RNA", at positions 1 to 103 of the family's 3401-position model. Lineage: Eukaryota; Viridiplantae; Streptophyta; Bryopsida; Pseudoditrichales; Ditrichaceae. The record is from RNAcentral.